Molecule: non-coding RNA, 45 nt
Organism: Aedes albopictus (Asian tiger mosquito)
Lineage: Eukaryota; Metazoa; Arthropoda; Insecta; Diptera; Culicidae
Source: Rfam
UUAAAGGAUUUUUUGAAAUCCAUAAAUGAUACAUUUAAUUCAUUU